Molecule: transfer RNA, 77 nt
Filed under: Candidatus Gygaella obscura
Lineage: Bacteria; Pseudomonadati; Candidatus Omnitrophota
Description: tRNA-Val
Rfam family: tRNA
About the family: Transfer RNA (tRNA) molecules are approximately 80 nucleotides in length. Their secondary structure includes four short double-helical elements and three loops (D, anti-codon, and T loops).
Source: RNAcentral
GGGCGUAUAGCUCAGUUGGUUAGAGCGCGUGCUUCACAUGCACGAGGUCAUUGGUUCAACUCCAAUUACGCCCACCA